Molecule: long non-coding RNA, 1809 nt
Organism: Bactrocera dorsalis (oriental fruit fly)
Lineage: Eukaryota; Metazoa; Arthropoda; Insecta; Diptera; Tephritidae
Exons: 4
Source: RefSeq, a predicted model, not a curated record
UAUUUUGAUAAUCAAUUUGCAUCAUUUUCAAAAGUUAUUCCGGUAUAAGUCUCUUAUUAUGAAAUGCCAAAUCAAACUGAGUAUAAAUCAAGUAAUAACUGCCAAAAGAACAACUCCAAAAAAGGAUUGCAUUGGAAAACCCACUCUUCUAAAAGAUCAUUGAUAAUUUUAUAUAAAUUUCACAAGUCAUUCAACUUUUACAUUAGUAACCUUGAACUUUAAAUUUGAGAUCCAAAAAUACAUAAAUAGUUCCAGGCUGAAAAUUUCAAGAAACACUUUCCGCUUAGUCAUCAAAUUUGACCAAUUCAUAGCGAAAAACGAAAUAGAAAUCAAUUUGAAUAUUUCGACUUUUAACUCGUUAAUUUUUAUUAGGGAAAACUAGGGUUUUCCAUUUGUCGUUUUCAGAGUAAUACGACAAGUUUUAAGAUUAUUUAGCUGAUGAUCAUAUCCAUUGUGAAUAGCACACCCUAUUGUUAUUGCAAUUCUCACUGGGUUCGUUGCGCUCGCACUUCGCAACGCCAGCGAUAAAGGCAAUCGCAACGCUGACUCCGACCGCGCCAGCGACGAUGACGACGACACUAUCGUUGCGUUCUGCGAUAGCGAAUAAUGAGCUAAAUUUUUCUCUGUACUUGUACUUUUGUUAUUGUAUUAUUUUUGUGGAUCACGGCUUUCCUUUGUGAAUGAGAAAAUAAAAGAGGAGUUUUUGUUUUUCGCUUGCGUUUCGAGUGCCAGCCACGAAUUCUGUGGACAGUCGUGCGCGUGCAGCGGUGGCGAAAGGAAUAAUAAGUGCAAUACUGUGAGCGUGGCGAGUGAAUCACAACGAGAAAUAAUUUUGACAUUGGCAAAUGCCAUUUGGGUUUUCGUGUGCCGCCGAAGGGAGGACAUACAUACAUAAAUAAAUGCGCGAUUAGUGUAUAAAAUGGGUGUUGAAAUAUUACAAAAACGAACAUUAAUUUUGUAGUGAAAAUAAACACAGGCGUGUAAAAUGCAACAACAACACUGAUAAGCGUUUUCUGACGCGAGUGAGUAAAAUUGUUGGAAAAUAAUCUAAAAUGCAAAGCGAUUGUGCAAAAUAUAGUAACAAAUAACAAACAAUGAAAUCACACACGUGUGGGUAUGUAAGCAUGUAUGUAGUUGUGUCUAUUGUAUGUUGGGGGAAAGGACAACCACGAAGGAUAUUCGCAUAUGUGCGCCUUGACACGCAAGCAACAGCAAAGUUCAAAAUCAGUGGAUACAUGUAUGUAUGUUUACAAAUAUACACGCCCUUGACGACGACGACGACGGCGUUGACUUCGCAGGCUUCGUCAUCGAUAGCGCAACAGUGCGUCAUGCAAGUAACGCUCAAUUGACUUGCUGCCCUGUUGCUACAAAUAAUCCUCAUACAUACAUACUUACUAUUAUGUCAAUAUGUAUGUAAGCUCGAACAUAUCAUAUUUCUUUUUUGGCUGUGUGCUGAUUUCAUUCAUAAAUGCCGUUCGGCAAAUAUUUGUUUUGCGACGACGACGAGAGAAAAGAAGAGCCCAAAUAUGUGCUAAAAGCAGAACUGAGAAUUGCAGAAAUAACAAAAUGGAUGAUUUACCAUUCAGUUUUGCGCUGUAAAAUGCCCCAUAUACAUAUGUAUGUACAUAUACAUUUGUACAUACAUACAUAUUUUGGAUACGGAAGACAACUUAAUUCAGCAAACUUACGGUGUCAAAAGUUCUUGUGAGUACUUGAUCAGCAUUUAAAUUAUAUUUACGUAUUUAUUAUUAAAAAGCAAUGUCCUAAAGAAAAAAACUUCUGAAAUUAAAAAAAAAAAAUCCGAAAAGA